Molecule: long non-coding RNA, 642 nt
Organism: Mustela erminea (ermine)
Lineage: Eukaryota; Metazoa; Chordata; Mammalia; Carnivora; Mustelidae
Exons: 3
Source: RefSeq, a predicted model, not a curated record
UUGUCAGACCUUCACUUUUUCAUUCUCAACCCUCAAUCCCUCCUGCUGGAAUUUCAAACCACUUCAUCAUCUUGGAAUUUUUUUUUCUUUUUUUCCAAGAAUGAGAGCGAGAGAGAGAGAAUAGCUAGCCACCAACUUCAGCGUAAGAGCCCCUUACAUACUCGAGUGCGGGUAUUAAUCUUUACUUCUCCAGGCUGAAGAAUCCAGGUUCUUUUAAAGAGUGCCCAUCAGUCCCGUUCUGCAGGCUUUUCAUCAUCUUUGUGGCUGUUAAGCCGUCAGCCCCAGCUGCUCACCGUAGACCGGUCUGCAGGCUCCUGGAGACCACCAGAUGCAGGUUUUAACCCAGAGAAGUUCACAGGAGGGGAGGUGCCCAGCUGCCGAAAAAGCUCUUGCUGGCCUGGAAGGGGGAGCCAGCAUUCAGAUGCAGCCAGGAGGUCCUGGUAGGCAAAGGUGUUUGCCUCAUGCCCUUGCCCGCAUGGUCCAGAGCCUGGCUCCUUGCGAAGCUCCGAGGUCAGCGCCUGGUCCCCAACGAUGAACCUGCUCCAGCCACCAGCUUUGCUCACUGUGUGACCAAGGGUAUGCCACUUACCCUCUCUGCGCUUUAGCUGCCCAGCCAAUGAAGAUAGUAUCUCCUGUCCUGAC